This is a small nucleolar RNA of Grammomys surdaster, 143 nucleotides long. RefSeq annotates it as small nucleolar RNA SNORA48. The transcript has a single exon. The record is from RefSeq and is a predicted model, not a curated record. Lineage: Eukaryota; Metazoa; Chordata; Mammalia; Rodentia; Muridae.
AGCCCUGGCAAUGGACAAAGAGUCACCUUGUUGGUGGUGUUGCUCUCACAUCAGUCAGGGGCAGAGAAGACGGCAGUCCUUUGUUCAUCCUAGCUUGAUGCUUGGCUUGGUGACCAAAACUGUUCUAUGGCUGAGACUCAUCA